UCAAGUGAAGAAGCGCAUACGGUGGAUGCCUUGGCAGUCAGAGGCGAUGAAAGACGUGGUAGCCUGCGAAAAGCUUCGGGGAGUCGGCAAACAGACUGUGAUCCGGAGAUGUCUGAAUGGGGGAACCCAGCCAUCAUAAGAUGGUUAUCUUACACUGAAUACAUAGGUGUAAGAGGCGAACCAGGGGAACUGAAACAUCUAAGUACCCUGAGGAAAAGAAAUCAACCGAGAUUCCCUUAGUAGUGGCGAGCGAACGGGGACCAGCCCUUAAGUUGUAUUGAGAUUAGCGGAACGCUCUGGAAAGGGCGGCCAUAGUGGGUGAUAGCCCUGUACGCGAAAAUCCCUUUGCAAUGAAAUCGAGUAGGACGGGGCACGAGAAACCUUGUCUGAAUAUGGGGGGACCAUCCUCCAAGGCUAAAUACUACUGACUGACCGAUAGUGAACCAGUACCGUGAGGGAAAGGCGAAAAGAACCGCGGAGAGCGGAGUGAAAUAGAUCCUGAAACCGUAUGCGUACAAGCAGUGGGAGCCCACUUUGUUGGGUGACUGCGUACCUUUUGUAUAAUGGGUCAGCGACUUAUUUUCAGUGGCGAGCUUAACCGAAUAGGGGAGGCGUAGCGAAAGCGAGUCUUAAUAGGGCGUCUAGUCGCUGGGAAUAGACCCGAAACCGGGCGAUCUAUCCAUGGGCAGGUUGAAGGUUGGGUAACACUAACUGGAGGACCGAACCGACUACCGUUGAAAAGUUAGCGGAUGACCUGUGGAUCGGAGUGAAAGGCUAAUCAAGCUCGGAGAUAGCUGGUUCUCCUCGAAAGCUAUUUAGGUAGCGCCUCAUGUAUCACUGUAGGGGGUAGAGCACUGUUUCGGCUAGGGGGUCAUCCCGACUUACCAAACCGAUGCAAACUCCGAAUACCUACAAGUGCCGAGCAUGGGAGACACACGGCGGGUGCUAACGUCCGUCGUGAAAAGGGAAACAACCCAGACCGUCAGCUAAGGUCCCAAAGUCAUGGUUAAGUGGGAAACGAUGUGGGAAGGCUUAGACAGCUAGGAGGUUGGCUUAGAAGCAGCCACCCUUUAAAGAAAGCGUAAUAGCUCACUAGUCGAGUCGGCCUGCGCGGAAGAUGUAACGGGGCUCAAACCAUGCACCGAAGCUACGGGUAUCAUCUUUUGAUGAUGCGGUAGAGGAGCGUUCUGUAAGCCUGUGAAGGUGAGUUGAGAAGCUUGCUGGAGGUAUCAGAAGUGCGAAUGCUGACAUGAGUAACGACAAUGGGUGUGAAAAACACCCACGCCGAAAGACCAAGGUUUCCUGCGCAACGUUAAUCGACGCAGGGUUAGUCGGUCCCUAAGGCGAGGCUGAAAAGCGUAGUCGAUGGAAAACAGGUUAAUAUUCCUGUACUUCUGGUUAUUGCGAUGGAGGGACGGAGAAGGCUAGGCCAGCCUGGCGUUGGUAGUCCAGGUUUAAGGUGGUAGGCUGAGAUCUUAGGUAAAUCCGGGAUCUUAAGGCCGAGAGCUGAUGACGAGUGUUCUUUUAGAACAUGAAGUGGUUGAUGCCAUGCUUCCAAGAAAAGCUUCUAAGCUUCAGGUAACCAGGAACCGUACCCCAAACCGACACAGGUGGUUGGGUAGAGAAUACCAAGGCGCUUGAGAGAACUCGGGUGAAGGAACUAGGCAAAAUGGCACCGUAACUUCGGGAGAAGGUGCGCCGGUGAGGGUGAAGCAUUUACUGCGUAAGCCCACGCCGGUCGAAGAUACCAGGCCGCUGCGACUGUUUAUUAAAAACACAGCACUCUGCAAACACGAAAGUGGACGUAUAGGGUGUGACGCCUGCCCGGUGCCGGAAGGUUAAUUGAUGGGGUUAGCGCAAGCGAAGCUCUUGAUCGAAGCCCCGGUAAACGGCGGCCGUAACUAUAACGGUCCUAAGGUAGCGAAAUUCCUUGUCGGGUAAGUUCCGACCUGCACGAAUGGCGUAACGAUGGCGGCGCUGUCUCCACCCGAGACUCAGUGAAAUUGAAAUCGCUGUGAAGAUGCAGUGUAUCCGCGGCUAGACGGAAAGACCCCGUGAACCUUUACUAUAGCUUUGCACUGGACUUUGAAUUUGCUUGUGUAGGAUAGGUGGGAGGCUUUGAAGCGUGGACGCCAGUCUGCGUGGAGCCAACCUUGAAAUACCACCCUGGCAACUUUGAGGUUCUAACUCAGGUCCGUUAUCCGGAUCGAGGACAGUGUAUGGUGGGUAGUUUGACUGGGGCGGUCUCCUCCUAAAGAGUAACGGAGGAGUACGAAGGUGCGCUCAGACCGGUCGGAAAUCGGUCGUAGAGUAUAAAGGCAAAAGCGCGCUUGACUGCGAGACAGACACGUCGAGCAGGUACGAAAGUAGGUCUUAGUGAUCCGGUGGUUCUGUAUGGAAGGGCCAUCGCUCAACGGAUAAAAGGUACUCCGGGGAUAACAGGCUGAUACCGCCCAAGAGUUCAUAUCGACGGCGGUGUUUGGCACCUCGAUGUCGGCUCAUCACAUCCUGGGGCUGAAGCCGGUCCCAAGGGUAUGGCUGUUCGCCAUUUAAAGUGGUACGCGAGCUGGGUUUAGAACGUCGUGAGACAGUUCGGUCCCUAUCUGCCGUGGACGUUUGAGAUUUGAGAGGGGCUGCUCCUAGUACGAGAGGACCGGAGUGGACGAACCUCUGGUGUUCCGGUUGUCACGCCAGUGGCAUUGCCGGGUAGCUAUGUUCGGAAAAGAUAACCGCUGAAAGCAUCUAAGCGGGAAACUUGCCUCAAGAUGAGAUCUCACUGGAACCUUGAGUUCCCUGAAGGGCCGUCGAAGACUACGACGUUGAUAGGUUGGGUGUGUAAGCGCUGUGAGGCGUUGAGCUAACCAAUACUAAUUGCCCGUGAGGCUUGACCAU
This 2892-nucleotide ribosomal RNA is filed under the name Pseudomonas syringae. Its description in RNAcentral is "bacterial LSU rRNA". It matches the Rfam family "Bacterial large subunit ribosomal RNA". Lineage: Bacteria; Pseudomonadati; Pseudomonadota; Gammaproteobacteria; Pseudomonadales; Pseudomonadaceae. RNAcentral also lists the same sequence under 2 other names. The record is from RNAcentral.